CUACGGGACGCAGCAGGCGCGAAACCUUUACAAUGCACGAAAGUGUGAUAAGGGAAUCCUAAGUGCUUUGCUUUUAGCAAAGCUUUUGCCAAGAGCAAAAAUCUUGGCGAAUAAGUGGUGGGUAAUACCUGUGCCAGCCGCCGCGGUAACCCAGGAACCACAAGUGGCAACCGCUUUUAUUGGGCCUAAAGCGUCCGUAGCCGGUUCAGCAAAUUUCCUGUGAAAUCGUUGGGCUCAACCUAACGUCGUGCAGGAAAGACUACUGGACUAGGGACCGGGAGGCGUCAGAGGUAUUCCUGAGGGAGCGGUAAAUGCUAUAAUCUCAGGAGGACCCCCAGUGGCGAAGGCGUCUGACGAGAACGGAUCCGACGGUGAGGGACGAAAGCUAGGGGAGCAAACCGGAUUAGAUACCCUAGUAGUC
This 421-nucleotide ribosomal RNA is filed under the name uncultured archaeon. RNAcentral describes it as "partial 16S ribosomal RNA". It matches the Rfam family "Archaeal small subunit ribosomal RNA", at positions 323 to 746 of the family's 1478-position model. The record is from RNAcentral.